Molecule: ribosomal RNA, 301 nt
Filed under: uncultured bacterium
Lineage: Bacteria
Description: partial 16S ribosomal RNA
Rfam family: Bacterial small subunit ribosomal RNA
Source: RNAcentral
CAGCAGCCGCGGGAAUACAGAGGGUGCGAGCGUUAAUCGGAUUUACUGGGCGUAAAGCGUGCGUAGGCGGCUUCUUAAGUCGGAUGUGAAAUCCCUGAGCUUAACUUAGGAAUUGCAUUCGAUACUGGGAAGCUAGAGUAUGGGAGAGGAUGGUAGAAUUCCAGGUGUAGCGGUGAAAUGCGUAGAGAUCUGGAGGAAUACCGAUGGCGAAGGCAGCCAUCUGGCCUAAUACUGACGCUGAGGUACGAAAGCAUGGGGAGCAAACAGGAUUAGAGACCCCAGUAGUCCCUGUCUCUUAUAC